UACGUAGGGAGCAAGCGUUGUCCGGAAUCAUUGGGCGUAAAGCGCGUGUAGGCGGCCCCGUAAGUCCGCUGUGAAAGUCAAAGGCUCAACCUUUGAAAGCCGGUGGAUACUGUGGGGCUAGAGUCCGGAAGAGGCGAGUGGAAUUCCUGGUGUAGCGGUGGAAUGCGCAGAUAUCAGGAGGAACACCAAUAGCGAAGGCAGCUCGCUGGGACGGUACUGACGCUAAGGCGCGAAAGCGUGGGGAGCAAACAGG
Molecule: ribosomal RNA, 253 nt
Filed under: uncultured bacterium
Lineage: Bacteria
Description: partial 16S ribosomal RNA
Rfam family: Bacterial small subunit ribosomal RNA
Source: RNAcentral